UACGGGGGGUGCGAGCGUUGUCCGGAAUCACUGGGCGUAAAGGGCGCGUAGGUGGUUUGAUAAGGGUGUGGUGAAAGCCCGGGGCUCAACCCCGGGUCUGCCGUGCCGACUGUCAAACUCGAGGGCUGUAGAGGCAGACGGAAUUCCGGGUGUAGCGGUGGAAUGCGUAGAUAUUGGGAAGAACACCUGAGGCGAAGGCGGGUUGCUGGGCCGACACUGACGCUGAGGCGCGAAAGCGUGGGUAGCAAACAGG
This 253-nucleotide ribosomal RNA is filed under the name uncultured bacterium. RNAcentral describes it as "partial 16S ribosomal RNA". It matches the Rfam family "Bacterial small subunit ribosomal RNA", at positions 524 to 776 of the family's 1533-position model. The record is from RNAcentral.